RNAcentral lists this ribosomal RNA (390 nucleotides) under uncultured Alphaproteobacteria bacterium. Its description in RNAcentral is "bacterial SSU rRNA". It matches the Rfam family "Bacterial small subunit ribosomal RNA", at positions 9 to 425 of the family's 1533-position model. The record is from RNAcentral. Lineage: Bacteria; Pseudomonadati; Pseudomonadota; Alphaproteobacteria.
GAGUUUGAUCAUGGCUCAGAACGAACGCUGGCGGCAGGCUUAACACAUGCAAGUCGAACGCGUGUAGCAAUACACGAGUGGCGCACGGGUGAGUAACGCGUGGAUAUCUGCCUUUUGGUUCGGAAUAACCCCGGGAAACUGGGGCUAAUACCGGAUGGUUCCUACGGGAUAAAGAUUUAUCGCCAAAAGAUGAGUCCGCGUACGAUUAGCUAGUUGGUGAGGUAAUGGCUCACCAAGGCGACGAUCGUUAGCUGGUCUGAGAGGACGAUCAGCCACACUGGGACUGAGACACGGCCCAGACUCCUACGGGAGGCAGCAGUGGGGAAUAUUGGACAAUGGGGGCAACCCUGAUCCAGCCAUGCCGCGUGAGUGAUGAAGGCCUUCGGGUUG